CUUUUAACGAGAGUUUGAUCCUGGCUCAGGAUGAACGCUGGCGGCGUGCUUAACACAUGCAAGUCGAGCGAAGCGCUUUACUUUGAUUUCUUCGGAUUGAAAAGUGUUGCGACUGAGCGGCGG
Molecule: ribosomal RNA, 123 nt
Filed under: Faecalicatena orotica
Lineage: Bacteria; Bacillati; Bacillota; Clostridia; Lachnospirales; Lachnospiraceae
Description: partial 16S ribosomal RNA
Rfam family: Bacterial small subunit ribosomal RNA
Source: RNAcentral